This 72-nucleotide transfer RNA is filed under the name Diabrotica virgifera virgifera (western corn rootworm). It matches the Rfam family "tRNA". From Rfam's summary of the family: Transfer RNA (tRNA) molecules are approximately 80 nucleotides in length. The record is from Rfam by way of RNAcentral. Lineage: Eukaryota; Metazoa; Arthropoda; Insecta; Coleoptera; Chrysomelidae.
GGGAGUAUAGCUCAGCGGUAGAGCGUUCGACUGGAGAUCGAGAGGUCCCCGGUUCGAAUCCGUGUGUUUUCU